RNAcentral lists this ribosomal RNA (213 nucleotides) under uncultured bacterium. RNAcentral's name for it is "partial 16S ribosomal RNA". It matches the Rfam family "Bacterial small subunit ribosomal RNA", at positions 1288 to 1500 of the family's 1533-position model. The record is from RNAcentral.
UAGUCCGGAUUGCAGUCUGCAACUCGACUGCAUGAAGUCGGAAUCGCUAGUAAUCGCGGAUCAGCAUGCCGCGGUGAAUACGUUCCCGGGUCUUGUACCACACCGCCCGUCAAACAAUGGGAGUGGUGUUUACCAGAAGUCGUUAGCCUAACCGCAAGGAGGGCGGCGACCACGGUGAGCACCGUGACUAAUGUUAAGUCGUAACAAGGUACC